Molecule: ribosomal RNA, 405 nt
Filed under: uncultured bacterium
Lineage: Bacteria
Description: partial 16S ribosomal RNA
Rfam family: Bacterial small subunit ribosomal RNA
Source: RNAcentral
GAUGAACGCUGGCGGCGUGCCUAAUACAUGCAAGUCGAGCGAAGCGGGGACGGGGGAGUAAAAAGUGGAUAACCUCCUUUCAGACCGGGAUAACGUCGGGAAACAGGAGCUAAAAAGGAUACUUAUGGAUGGCGCCGCGGUGCAUUAGCUAGUUGGUAAGGUAACGGCUUGCCAAGGCAACGAUGCAUAGCCGACCUGAGAGGGUGAUCUGCCACACUGGACAUUAUAACCGGUCCAGACUCCUACGGUAGGCAGCAGUAGGGAAUCUUCCGCAAUGGGCGAAAGCCUGACAGGGCAACGCCGCGUGAGUGAUGAAGGUCUUCGGAUCGUAAAUCUCUGUUAUUAGGGAAGCGGUACCUAAUCAGAAAGCCACGGCUAACUACGUGCCAGCAGCCGCGGUAAUAC